This 466-nucleotide ribosomal RNA is filed under the name uncultured bacterium. Its description in RNAcentral is "partial 16S ribosomal RNA". It matches the Rfam family "Bacterial small subunit ribosomal RNA", at positions 28 to 505 of the family's 1533-position model. The record is from RNAcentral.
GACGAACGCUGGCGGCGUGCUUAACACAUGCAAGUCGAACGGAAAGGCCCUGCUUUUGUGGGGUGCUCGAGUGGCGAACGGGUGAGUAACACGUGAGUAACCUGCCCUUGACUUUGGGAUAACUUCAGGAAACUGGGGCUAAUACCGGAUAGGAGCUCCUGCUGCAUGGUGGGGGUUGGAAAGUGUCGGCGGUUGGGGAUGGACUCGCGGCUUAUCAGCUUGUUGGUGGGGUAGUGGCUUACCAAGGCUUUGACGGGUAGCCGGCCUGAGAGGGUGACCGGCCACAUUGGGACUGAGAUACGGCCGAGACGCCUACGGGAGGCAGCAGUGGGGAAUAUUGCACAAUGGGCGGAAGCCUGAUGCAGCAACGCCGCGUGCGGGAUGCCGGCAUUAGGGGUGUAAAACGCUUUCGCCUGUGACGAAGCGUGAGUGACGGUAAUGGGUAAAGAAGCACCGGCGAACUACG